Molecule: long non-coding RNA, 197 nt
Organism: Labrus mixtus (cuckoo wrasse)
Lineage: Eukaryota; Metazoa; Chordata; Actinopteri; Labriformes; Labridae
Exons: 2
Source: RefSeq, a predicted model, not a curated record
CUGGUGGUGAAGGUGUAGUAGUAGGUUUUUCUGUUGUGGUUGGCUCCUCAGUUGUAGUUGUUGUUGGUUGGGUUGUCACUUUUGUGGUUGUGGUUGGCUCUGCAGUUGUAGUUGUUGGUUCAGAUGUCGUAGUUGAAGAUUCUGUGGUAAUGACUGGUGGUGAAGUUGUAGUAGUAGGUUUUGCUGUUGUGGUUGGC